RNAcentral lists this transfer RNA (77 nucleotides) under Nitrososphaerota archaeon. RNAcentral's name for it is "Thaumarchaeota archaeon tRNA-Trp". It matches the Rfam family "tRNA". From Rfam's summary of the family: Transfer RNA (tRNA) molecules are approximately 80 nucleotides in length. Their secondary structure includes four short double-helical elements and three loops (D, anti-codon, and T loops). Lineage: Archaea; Thermoproteati; Nitrososphaerota. The record is from RNAcentral.
GGGGACGUAGCCUAGACAGGCAUGGCAACAGGCUCCAGACCUGUGAUCCGUCGGUUCAAGUCCGGCCGUCCCCACCA